Mizuhopecten yessoensis (Yesso scallop) is the source of this 387-nucleotide long non-coding RNA. RefSeq lists it as uncharacterized. The record is from RefSeq and is a predicted model, not a curated record. The transcript has 3 exons. Lineage: Eukaryota; Metazoa; Mollusca; Bivalvia; Pectinida; Pectinidae.
AUCUAUUGUUAACAUGGACCAUCGGGUUAACAUAGACCAGGGUCCUACAAAUAGACAGAGACGGUGACAAUCUAUUGUUAACAUGGACCAUCAGGUUAACAUAGUCCAGGGUCCUACAAAUAGACAGGGAACAGUGACAAUCUAUUGUUAACAUGGACCAUCAGGUUAACAUAGUCCAGGGUCCUACAAAUAGACAGAGACGGUGACAAUCUAUUGUUAACAUGGACCAGUAACUACAUAUUGUUAAGGUCUCCUACAGGCUUUUCAGACAAUCAGUUAACGUAUUACACAGAGAGAAAAAUGACAAUUUGAUUUUUUUACAAACAUGAAGACCAUUAUAUAGGUUAAAAUAGUCCCAAGUCCUACAGAUAGCAGUGUAUCAAAAUG